This 497-nucleotide ribosomal RNA is filed under the name uncultured bacterium. RNAcentral's name for it is "partial 16S ribosomal RNA". It matches the Rfam family "Bacterial small subunit ribosomal RNA", at positions 28 to 507 of the family's 1533-position model. The record is from RNAcentral.
GAUGAACGCUGGCGGCGUGCCUAAUACAUGCAAGUCGAGCGAACAGAUGAGGAGCUUGCUCCUCUGACGUUAGCGGCGGACGGGUGAGUAACACGUGGAUAACCUACCUAUAAGACUGGGAUAACUUCGGGAAACCGGAGCUAAUACCGGAUAAUAUAUUGAACCGCAUGGUUCAAUAGUGAAAGACGGCUUUGCUGUCACUUAUAGAUGGAUCCGCGCCGCAUUAGCUAGUUGGUAAGGUAACGGCUUACCAAGGCAACGAUGCGUAGCCGACCUGAGAGGGUGAUCGGCCACACUGGAACUGAGACACGGUCCAGACUCCUACGGGAGGCAGCAGUAGGGAAUCUUCCGCAAUGGGCGAAAGCCUGACGGAGCAACACCGCGUGAGUGAUGAAGGUCUUCGGAUCGUAAAACUCUGUUAUUAGGGAAGAACAAAUGUGUAAGUAACUAUGCACGUCUUGACGGUACCUAAUCAGAAAGCCACGGCUAACUACGUG